GCGGGCGUAGCUCAGUUGGUAGAGCGUCAGCCUUCCAAGCUGAACGUCGCCGGUUCGAACCCGGUCGCCCGCUCCA
Molecule: transfer RNA, 76 nt
Filed under: Sorangium cellulosum
Lineage: Bacteria; Pseudomonadati; Myxococcota; Polyangiales; Polyangiaceae
Also listed under: 5 other names
Description: tRNA-Gly
Rfam family: tRNA
About the family: Transfer RNA (tRNA) molecules are approximately 80 nucleotides in length. Their secondary structure includes four short double-helical elements and three loops (D, anti-codon, and T loops). Further hydrogen bonds mediate the characteristic L-shaped molecular structure. tRNAs have two regions of fundamental functional importance: the anti-codon, which is responsible for specific mRNA codon recognition, and the 3' end, to which the tRNAs corresponding amino acid is attached (by aminoacyl-tRNA synthetases). tRNAs cope with the degeneracy of the genetic code in two manners: having more than one tRNA (with a specific anti-codon) for a particular amino acid; and 'wobble' base-pairing, i.e. permitting non-standard base-pairing at the 3rd anti-codon position.
Source: RNAcentral